RNAcentral lists this ribosomal RNA (747 nucleotides) under uncultured Azonexus sp. RNAcentral describes it as "bacterial SSU rRNA". It matches the Rfam family "Bacterial small subunit ribosomal RNA", at positions 28 to 769 of the family's 1533-position model. The record is from RNAcentral. Lineage: Bacteria; Pseudomonadati; Pseudomonadota; Betaproteobacteria; Rhodocyclales; Azonexaceae.
AUUGAACGCUGGCGGCAUGCUUUACACAUGCAAGUCGAACGGCAGCGCGGGGGCAACCCUGGCGGCGAGUGGCGAACGGGUGAGUAAUGCAUCGGAACGUAUCCUGUAAUGGGGGAUAACGUAGCGAAAGUUACGCUAAUACCGCAUACGCUCGAGAGAGGAAAGUGGGGGAUCGCAAGACCUCACGUUAUAGGAGCGGCCGAUGUCCGAUUAGCUAGUUGGUGGGGUAAAGGCCUACCAAGGCGACGAUCGGUAGCUGGUCUGAGAGGAUGAUCAGCCACACUGGGACUGAGACACGGCUCAGACUCCUACGGGAGGCAGCAGUGAGGAAUUUUGGACAAUGGGCGAAAGCCUGAUCCAGCCAUGCCGCGUGCGGGAAGAAGGCCUUCGGGUUGUAAACCGCUUUAGUCCGGGAAAAAGGGGUGCGAGGAUAAUACCCUUGUGCUUUGAUGGUACUGGAAGAAUAAGUACCGGCUAACUACGUGCCAGCAGCCGCGGUAAUACGUAGGGUGCGAGCGUUAAUCGGAAUUACUGGGCGUACAGCGUGCGCAGGCGGUCUUGUAAGACAGUCGUGAAAGCCCCGGGCUUAACCUGGGAACUGCGAUUGUGACUGCAAGGCUAGAGUGUGUCAGAGGGGGGUGGAAUUCCACGUGUAGCAGUGAAAUGCGUAGAGAUGUGGAGGAACACCGAUGGCGAAGGCAGCCCCCUGGGAUAACACUGACGCUCAUGCACGAAAGCGUGGGGAGC